UUUCGCAAUGCCCGAAAGGGUGACGAAGCGACGCCGCGUGGGUGAGGAAGGCCUUCGGGCUGUAAAACCCUGUCAGGAGUUAAGAAAUGUAAGUGCGCUAAUAUCGCAUUUAUUUGACGAAGGCUCCAAAGGAAGUCACGGCUAACUCUGUGCCAGCAGCCGCGGUAAUACAGAGGUGGCAAGCGUUGUUCGGAAUUAUUGGGCGUAAAGAGCACGUAGGUGGAUUUGUAAGUCAGAUGUGAAAGCCUUCUGUUCAACGGGAGAAUUGCAUCUGAAACUGCGAACCUUGAGUGUAGGAGGGGAGAGUGGAACUUCUGGUGGAGCGGUGAAAUGCGUAGAUAUCAGAAGGAACACCGGUGGCGAAGGCGACUCUCUGGCCUAUUACUGACGCUGAGUGUGCGAAAGCUAGGGGAGCAAACGGGAUUAGAUACCCCGGUAGUCCUAGCCGUAAACGAUGGGCACUAAGUAGAGGGGUUUUA
This 479-nucleotide ribosomal RNA is filed under the name uncultured bacterium. RNAcentral's name for it is "bacterial SSU rRNA". It matches the Rfam family "Bacterial small subunit ribosomal RNA", at positions 364 to 833 of the family's 1533-position model. The record is from RNAcentral.